AGCAGUCUAUAGGUGAACCUUUUAUCUAAGUUUUUCUUGUUUUCACCUGGAGCAAUUGGUACUAGGAAAAACAUUGGAUUGUAGCAGUGACUUGAUGUAGGUUAUUCCAACAGUGGGUGACCUGAUCCCAUUGUCUAUUCGGCCGAGAAGCUGCCUGGAUCAACAGCUGUCCGAGCGCACAAAGACGACCACCCAGUCGAUCAAUAGUUAACCAAAAAAUUAAAUGGGGUAAAAAUUUGAACAAGUUCCACCAAAUGUGGUAAAAUAAGAGAAUUCACUAUAUAAAAAACAGGAAUAAUUCACUAAAGCCACAAACUGUAAGUUAAGAUCCGACGUCAGUUUUUGGGUUGAAAAUAAAUCCCAAACAAGCUAAACGACGGAGACUUUGACUCUAUCACCUACCCUAUUGGACAUGGCGUUAUAAUCUCUAGCAUAUCCUUCGUCCGCCCGUCGAAAGUGGUCAUCCUUGGACAAAUAAUCGUCCCAAAAAGAAAAGUGCAAAAAAAAAUGAAAACUCAAAUAAUUAGCAUAACACGAACUAUCAUUAGCACGUGCGUAAACAAGCAUACGUCAAGACUUCUUCCUCCCAAGCGUUCCGGAUAAAUUAAUCACAACAACAAUGUGACAGCGGACCAUAGCCCAUAUGUGCUUGCAAAUGAUUCAAGUUUGAUUUUUUUGUUUACUAGCCGAAAUGCCCGUGCAUUGCUGCAGGCCACCGCACUCCGCACGUAUUUUCGACAAUUCUUGACAGAAGAUUCGAUCAACGUCCACUGCAGCAUGCCCACACGUCUGCAUGCUUUUUUUCGCCCACGGAUUCGAGCACGGCGACCACAAUACUGACACUUACUCAGUAGUUGGAGUAGAUGGUUCAUUAGAAGGAAAAACUUCCACUUAUUACUUAGUUUUGCUUGGAUAUUCGUUGUGAUGUCUCGAGCCUUCCCGUCAACCACCGUGGCCCAUGGAGGCCGACGAGUAAUCUCCGAGAAAUCAAUGCAAGGGAAAGGAAGUCGUACACGAACACGAGGAACAAGAA
This 1033-nucleotide long non-coding RNA is filed under the name Brachypodium distachyon (stiff brome). RNAcentral's name for it is "long non-coding RNA (BDIS_LNC002360)". The record is from RNAcentral. Lineage: Eukaryota; Viridiplantae; Streptophyta; Magnoliopsida; Poales; Poaceae.